RNAcentral lists this ribosomal RNA (887 nucleotides) under uncultured bacterium. Its description in RNAcentral is "bacterial SSU rRNA". It matches the Rfam family "Bacterial small subunit ribosomal RNA", at positions 16 to 916 of the family's 1533-position model. The record is from RNAcentral.
AUUCUGGCUCAGGACGAACGCUGGCGGCGCGCCUAACACAUGCAAGUCGAACGAGCAAGAGAGAGCUUGCUUUCUCGAGCGAGUGGCGAACGGGUGAGUAACGCGUGAGGAACCUGCCUCAAAGAGGGGGACAACAGUUGGAAACGACUGCUAAUACCGCAUAAGCCCACGGUGCCGCAUGGCACAGAGGGAAAAGGAGCAAUCCGCUUUGAGAUGGCCUCGCGUCCGAUUAGCUAGUUGGUGAGGUAACGGCCCACCAAGGCAACGAUCGGUAGCCGGACUGAGAGGUUGAACGGCCACAUUGGGACUGAGACACGGCCCAGACUCCUACGGGAGGCAGCAGUGGGGAAUAUUGCACAAUGGGGGAAACCCUGAUGCAGCGACGCCGCGUGGAGGAAGAAGGUCUUCGGAUUGUAAACUCCUGUUGUUGGGGAAGAUAAUGACGGUACCCAACAAGGAAGUGACGGCUAACUACGUGCCAGCAGCCGCGGUAAAACGUAGGUCACAAGCGUUGUCCGGAAUUACUGGGUGUAAAGGGAGCGCAGGCGGGAAGACAAGUUGGAAGUGAAAUCUAUGGGCUCAACCCAUAAACUGCUUUCAAAACUGUUUUUCUUGAGUAGUGCAGAGGUAGGCGGAAUUCCCGGUGUAGCGGUGGAAUGCGUAGAUAUCGGGAGGAACACCAGUGGCGAAGGCGGCCUACUGGGCACCAACUGACGCUGAGGCUCGAAAGUGUGGGUAGCAAACAGGAUUAGAUACCCUGGUAGUCCACACCGUAAACGAUGAUUACUAGGUGUUGGAGGAUUGACCCCUUCAGUGCCGCAGUUAACACAAUAAGUAAUCCACCUGGGGAGUACGACCGCAGGGUUGCAACUCAAAGGAAUUGACGG